AUGGAAAAAGAGAAAGUAAAUGAUGAUGGAAAACUAGACCCAGAGAAUUCCUUGGACUUUUCUGAACACUUCAGCUAACUCCAAUUGUUGGAAAUACGUGGAUACCUUAUUCCCACUAGUACUCAGAGUCUCUGAGAUGGCAGUUUUGAUGAGGAAGAGGAGCAAGAUGAAAAAAAAACAAGAGUGAUAUGCAAGAAAAAAACAGAGAAAGAUCCAAGCAAAUAUUUUUUUUGGGCUGCUGAAAAUAAUUGGCUUAUCCAGUGUGGAGACUGCUUUGUGAAAAGACCACUCGUGUGAACACUAGGGAUGAAGAUGAGUGUAUCACCCCCUUCAUCGAGCAGCCUAAGGUGGACACUUAGACAUUGUCUGUGAGCUGAUUGCACAAGGGGCAGAAGUUUUUGCAGUGACCGUAGAUAGCUGGACACCCCUGCAGGGUGCUUAUAAGUGGAAUAAUACCAGAGUGGCUUCUUUAUUUCUUCAGCAUGGUGUAGAUUAGUUAUCAGUGACCAAACAAAAGGUCUCUUGACCCACUUGCAUCUUGCUGCUGGGAUCAGAGACAGCAGAGCUACUCUAGAACAUCUACUGGUGAACUGUUAACCUCAAACCAGAUCUGAAAAAACAACUGGGAAGAAACUGUAUUUGAUAUUGCCAGGAGGACAAGUAUCUGUCACGACCUCUUUGAAAUUGUGGAAGGCACUGUACAAAUUCUUCACC
RNAcentral lists this long non-coding RNA (714 nucleotides) under Homo sapiens (human). Its description in RNAcentral is "non-protein coding lnc-FAM124B-2:1". Lineage: Eukaryota; Metazoa; Chordata; Mammalia; Primates; Hominidae. The record is from RNAcentral.